GGGAUCGCAAGACCUUGCGCUCUGGGAGCGGCCGAUGUCGGAUUAKCUAGUUGGUGUAAAGGCCUACCAAGGCGACGAUCCGUAKCGGGUYUGAGAGGAUGAUCCACACUGGGACUGAGACACGGCCCAGACUCCUACGGGAGGCAGYAGGGAAUUUUGGACAAUGGGCGAAAGCCUGAUCCAUCCAUGCCGYGUGGAAGAAGGCCUUCKGGUUGUAAAGCUCUUUCYGUGGGGAAGAAAUUGCAUAGGUUAAUACCCUGUGUUGAUGACGGUACCUGGAGAAKAAGCAYCUGGCUAACUAYUUGCCAAKCAGCCGCGGUAAAUACGUAGGGUGCGAAGGAAUUACUGGGCGUAAAGG
Molecule: ribosomal RNA, 358 nt
Filed under: uncultured bacterium
Lineage: Bacteria
Description: partial 16S ribosomal RNA
Rfam family: Bacterial small subunit ribosomal RNA
Source: RNAcentral